UGACGCGCCACACCCGCGUCCCAUCGCGUAUCACCGUCACACUUCCGAGACACUCUAAACCUGCAGACACAACGCACACACGUCCUGACAUGCCCGCACUCCUAUGGUGUUGGUACAAUCGCUGUGGCCCUACGCUACUGUCGCCCCAUCAAUCAUAUGCGCAACUGCCCACCACCGCUGUUGCCACCGCGCAGUGAAGCACCUCACCAGCCGCUUCCGCAUCUCGACAGGGCGUAAUGAAGAUCCAAUGUCGCCUUCGUUGUUAUGCCGGCAUGUACUGCUUGGGGCCGAGGCCGGGAGGCGCCGUUGAUUGCGCGGGGGCAGCCGCAGGUCACCAUCACCGGCACUGGUUCACGAGCCCGAUCCAACCGCUCCCGCCUACUUUGAUACGGACGAAGGUACAAGUGGAAGAUACACAUCUCCCUAUUCAACUAUCCCGUGCAGACAAGUCACACGAUGUAAUAGAUUCCAUGCGCUGUGAGGAAGACAAGAGCGACGCGGUCUCAAGUGCGAGGUGGGUGCACUCGCACUGGUAUUGACCAAGCCACACGUGCAAGUGCGCAGGACUGCAAAGUUAAGUUGUCUGAGUCAUAAGGGUACACCGCACUCACGCAAAGCACAUGUAUAAAGCGUCAAAGUGUCACAAACUAAUGGUACAAGUGGAGCCGCUAUCAGGCACU
Molecule: long non-coding RNA, 680 nt
Filed under: Chlamydomonas reinhardtii
Lineage: Eukaryota; Viridiplantae; Chlorophyta; Chlorophyceae; Chlamydomonadales; Chlamydomonadaceae
Description: long non-coding RNA (CREI_LNC000260)
Source: RNAcentral